AGAGUUUGAUCAUGGCUCAGGAUGAACGCUGGCGGCGUGCUUAACACAUGCAAGUCGAACGGACCAUAUUCGUAUGGUUAGUGGCAGACGGGUGCGUAACACGUAGGUGACCUGCCCUUAAGUGGGGAACAACUCCGCUAACGCGGAGCUAAUACCGCAUAUGUUCGUUGGUGCAGAUCAGCGAGUAAAGCAGCAAUGCGCUUAGGGAUGGGCCUGCGGCGGUUUAGGUAGUUGGUGGGGUAACGGCCUACCAAGCCGAUGAUCCGUAGGGGGCGUGAGAGCGUGGCCCCCCACAUUGGCACUGAGACACGGGCCAAACUCCUACGGGAGGCAGCAGUGAGGAAUAUUGCGCAAUGGGCGAAAGCCUGACGCAGCAACGCCGCGUGAGGGACGAAGGCCUUCGGGUCGUAAACCUCUUUUCUGGGGAACGAGUAAGGACGGUACCUCAGGAAUAAGUCUCGGCUAACUACGUGCCAGCCGCCGCGGUAAUAC
RNAcentral lists this ribosomal RNA (492 nucleotides) under uncultured bacterium. RNAcentral's name for it is "bacterial SSU rRNA". It matches the Rfam family "Bacterial small subunit ribosomal RNA", at positions 8 to 526 of the family's 1533-position model. The record is from RNAcentral.